Molecule: ribosomal RNA, 773 nt
Filed under: uncultured Neocallimastigales
Lineage: Eukaryota; Fungi; Neocallimastigomycota; Neocallimastigomycetes; Neocallimastigales
Description: partial large subunit ribosomal RNA
Rfam family: Eukaryotic large subunit ribosomal RNA
Source: RNAcentral
UAUCUCUGUAGAGUCUGCAUAUCAAUAAGCGGAGGAAAAGAAACUAACUAGGAUUCCCUCAGUAACGGCGAGUGAAGCGGGAAGAGCUCAAAUUCGAAAUCUUCAAGGUUCUACCUUGACGAAUUGUAGUUUAAAGAAGUGUUUUCUGUUGGAGUUUUGGUAAAAGUUCUUUGGAAUAGGACAUCAUAGAGGGUGAGAAUCCCGUAUUUGACCAUUAUUUCCAGCUUUGUGAUACACUUUCAAAGAGUCGGAUUGUUUGGGAAUGCAGUCCAAAAUGGGUGGUAAAUUUCAUCUAAAGCUAAAUAUUGGCGAGAGACCGAUAGCGAACAAGUACCGUGAGGGAAAGAUGAAAAGAACUUUGAAAAGAGAGUUAAACAGUACGUGAAAUUGUCAAAAGGGAAGCGUUUGACACCAGUGUUGUUUCUACGAAAAUCAAUUUAUGAUGGCUUGAUGCUAAGCUUUAAGACUUUAUCCGCUUGUUGUUUAGUUUUCUUGUCUUUGUGAAUGCACUUUUCGUGGAACAAGUCAACAUCAAUUUCUUUUGCUGUAAAAGGGUAAGAGGAAGGUGGCUUCGGCUUCGGUUGAAGUGUUUAUAGCCUUUUAUCUCUGCAGCCGGAGAGAUUGAGGUCUGCAGCGUAGACUCUUCGGGGUUAGAUACGUCGGUGCUAAGCUAUAGCUUUUCAUAGACAACUUGUUGACUAUGUUUAGUCAUGUGGCUUACCCGCUGGCGCUAUUUUACCUACGCUUAGGAUGUUGAGUCAUCACACAUCUCU